AUUGAACGCUGGCGGCAGGCCUAACACAUGCAAGUCGAGCGGCAGCGGAAAGUAGCUUGCUACUUUGCCGGCGAGCGGCGGACGGGUGAGUAAUGUCUGGGAAACUGCCUGAUGGAGGGGGAUAACUACUGGAAACGGUAGCUAAUACCGCAUAACGUCGCAAGACCAAAGAGGGGGACCUUCGGGCCUCUUGCCAUCAGAUGUGCCCAGAUGGGAUUAGCUAGUAGGUGGGGUAACGGCUCACCUAGGCGACGAUCCCUAGCUGGUCUGAGAGGAUGACCAGCCACACUGGAACUGAGACACGGUCCAGACUCCUACGGGAGGCAGCAGUGGGGAAUAUUGCACAAUGGGCGCAAGCCUGAUGCAGCCAUGCCGCGUGUAUGGAGAGGGCCUUCGGGUUGUAAAGUACUUUCAGCGGGGAGGAAGGUGUUGUGGUUAAUAACCACAGCAAUUGACGUUACCCGCAGAAGAAGCACCGGCUAACUCCGUGCCAGCCGCCGCAGUAA
RNAcentral lists this ribosomal RNA (506 nucleotides) under uncultured bacterium. Its description in RNAcentral is "partial 16S ribosomal RNA". It matches the Rfam family "Bacterial small subunit ribosomal RNA", at positions 30 to 523 of the family's 1533-position model. The record is from RNAcentral.